CUAAGAAUCUUGCGCAAUGGGCGAAAGCCUGGCGCAGCAAUUCCGCGUGGGGGACGAAGGCCCUCGGGUCGUAAACCCCUUUUGCGAGGGAAGAAGUUCUGACGGUACCUCGCGAAUAAGCCACGGCUAACUACGUGCCAGCAGCCGCGGUAAUACGUAGGUGGCGAGCGUUGUCCGGAUUCAUUGGGCGUAAAGAGCCCGCAGGCGGCCUGUUAAGUUUCAGGUGAAAUCUCCCGGCUCAACUGGGAGGGGUCCUGGAAAACUGGCAGGCUUGAGGCAGGGAGAGGGCUGUGGAAUUCCCGGUGUAGUGGUGAAAUGCGUAGAUAUCGGGAGGAACACCAGUGGCGAAGGCGGCAUCCUGGCCCUGUCCUGACGCUCAGGGGCGAAAGCGUGGGGAGCAAACC
Molecule: ribosomal RNA, 404 nt
Filed under: uncultured bacterium
Lineage: Bacteria
Description: bacterial SSU rRNA
Rfam family: Bacterial small subunit ribosomal RNA
Source: RNAcentral